Camelus dromedarius (Arabian camel) is the source of this 376-nucleotide long non-coding RNA. RefSeq lists it as uncharacterized. The transcript is spliced from 2 exons. NCBI's taxonomy places the organism in Eukaryota, Metazoa, Chordata, Mammalia, Artiodactyla, Camelidae. The record is from RefSeq and is a predicted model, not a curated record.
UCUUCCCCCUCCCCAACUCUCCCCUUCCCGGGCCAAGCACUCACUCGAGGGUCAGCGCCGGGAUGUGCAGCUUGUCCCUGCGGGACUUCAUGCCGAGGCCGGGGCCGCGUUUAAGCAACCAGGCCGUUGAAGAAGUAUUAAAGUAAAACGAGAUUUUAUGGGUGGAUCCUAAUCCAAUAUGACUGAUGUCAUUAUAAGAAGAGGAGAUUAGUAUGCACACAUGUAGGAGGGAGGACCACAGACAGACACAAAGAGAAGAUGCCAUCUUCAAGACGUGGAGAGAGAUGCUGGAAGAAAGCAAACCCGCUGACACCUUGAUCUUCGACUUCUAGCCUCCAGAACUAUAAGGAAAUAAAUUUCUGUUGUUGAAACUGCU